This 429-nucleotide ribosomal RNA is filed under the name uncultured bacterium. Its description in RNAcentral is "bacterial SSU rRNA". It matches the Rfam family "Bacterial small subunit ribosomal RNA", at positions 83 to 507 of the family's 1533-position model. The record is from RNAcentral.
GUUUUAAGGGGAGUGGCGCGACGGGUGAGUAACACGUAGGACAAUCUACCGUUUAGGACUGACACAACUCGUACGAAAGACGGGCUAAUAUCAGAUAAUGCAGCGGCUCCGCAUGGAGACAGUUGUUAAAGUACAAGCGCCUGAAGAUGAGCCUGCGGUCCAUUAGCUAGUUGGUAGAGUAACGGCCUACCAAGGCAACGAUGGAUAGCUGGUCUGAGAGGAUGAUCAGCCACACUGGAACUGAGACACGGUCCAGACUCCUACGGGAGGCAGCAGUAAGGAAUAUUGCUCAAUGGCCGAAAGGCUGAAGCAGCAACGCCGCGUGAAGGAUGAAUGGCCUUUGGCCUGUAAACUUCUGUAAAAGAGGAAAAUAGUUAGGUAUAUCCUAAUGUGAUUGUACUCUUGAAGUAAGCCCCGGCUAACUACGUG